Molecule: ribosomal RNA, 249 nt
Filed under: uncultured Eubacteriales bacterium
Lineage: Bacteria; Bacillati; Bacillota; Clostridia; Eubacteriales
Description: uncultured Clostridiales bacterium partial 16S ribosomal RNA
Rfam family: Bacterial small subunit ribosomal RNA
Source: RNAcentral
UGGGGAAUCUUCCGCAAUGGGCGAAAGCCUGACGGAGCAAUGCCGCGUGGGUGAAGAAGGCCUUCGGGUUGUAAAGCCCUGUCUUAUGGGAAGAAGAAAGUGACGGUACCAUAGGAGGAAGCCACGGCUAACUACGUGCCAGCAGCCGCGGUAAUACGUAGGUGGCGAGCGUUGUCCGGAAUCACUGGGCGUAAAGGGCGCGCAGGCGGUUUUUUAAGUCAGUUGGGAAAUAUCCGGGCUUAACCUGGA